UACGAAGGGUGCAAGCGUUACUCGGAAUUACUGGGCGUAAAGCGUGCGUAGGUGGUUCGUUAAGUCUGUCGUGAAAGCCCCGGGCUCAACCUGGGAAUGGCGAUGGAUACUGGCGGGCUAGAGUGCGGUAGAGGAGAGUGGAAUUCCCGGUGUAGCAGUGAAAUGCGUAGAGAUCGGGAGGAACAUCAGUUGCGAAGGCGGCUCUCUGGACCAUUACUGACGCUGAGGUGCGAAAGCGUGGGGAGCAAACAGG
Molecule: ribosomal RNA, 253 nt
Filed under: uncultured bacterium
Lineage: Bacteria
Description: partial 16S ribosomal RNA
Rfam family: Bacterial small subunit ribosomal RNA
Source: RNAcentral